This 1621-nucleotide long non-coding RNA is filed under the name Sus scrofa (pig). RNAcentral describes it as "lncRNA (ENSSSCG00035050160.1, ENSSSCG00055024808.1)". Lineage: Eukaryota; Metazoa; Chordata; Mammalia; Artiodactyla; Suidae. The record is from RNAcentral.
AUGCAUGUGCUUCCUCUUCAGGGGAAGGAAAUACUGCAAAAAAAAAGAAGCAUCUCAGAUGUGGGAUCUUUAAGACGUGUGUUCUGCCUGUUGAGCAGGUGCUUGGGGUUUGCUGGACCGAUGAAGUGUGGUCAGUUUCUGCAAGGGUCUGGACUUGUUUCCCGCAGCCCUGGCAGUGGCCGUGUGGUGGCUGAGCAGACAGAACCAACGCCCGUGGGUGUUUGGCCAGCUGGCCCUGGCCUCCCACUAGGCCGUCAAAGACGCCUUCUGGAACUGGCGGCCACCUUGGCCCACUCGUUAUCCAGCAGGAUAAUAAAUGCAGACAGCAGAGCAAUGGAGCCUGGUGGGAUUUACCGGAGCAGCCUGGCUCCCUCUGCGACCCUCCCUCCAGAACAGCGGCCCUGUGACUCCGGGAGGGCGCAGCUCACCAGAGAACAACACGAUGCUGAGACCCGGGUACUGUUUGUCACCGCAGCACACAGACUGGUAAGUAAAUAUUAUGUUUGUAACUCGGAGCGAAGAGUGGUGAGGUCACGUAGCUUGCUCUUGCUGCACGAGUCAGUGUCAGGCUGGCACAGACGCUUUAAAUGUCCACUCUUUGGGAAACUGAGAUUUUGCUAGAACCUCAUGCUUUCCUCAUGCGGAGCGUCACAGCCAGUAGUUGACUUGUGCCAACAACAUCCUGUCCUCAGAACCUAGGUUCUUGCCUUUUUCACCCUGAAGGUGGGCAGCUCAGCCUGCUUUCUUUAACCCCGAGAGCUCAGGCGUCUGUUCGACAUGGAGCUUGUGAGUCUCUGGGUGUCGCGCAGAAUGUUCAUCUCAAGAGAUUCUGCCUGUCGAUGGUUAGAAUCAUUUGGAAAUUAAUCAUGUGAGCAUAAGUACACAGAUUCCAAAACUUUUGUUAUCACCUUGUGUUGGCUCUUAGAAAAGAGCCUGAGGAUCUUCAGCAAACCUCAGGUUCCUAGACAAGCAAACAAACACCGGAGCUCCGGUCGUGGCGCAGUGGUUAACGAAUCCGACUGGGAACCAUGAGGUUGCGGGUUCGAUCCCUGCCCUUGCUCAGUGGGUUAAGGAUCCGGCGUUGCCGUGAGCUGUGGUGUAGGUCGCAGACGCGGCUCGGAUCCCGCGUUGCUGUGGCUCUGGCCUAGGCUGGUGGCUGCAGCUCCGAUUCGACCCCUAACCUGGGAACCUCCAUGUGCCGAAGGAGCGGCCCAAGAAACAGCAAAAAGACAAAAAAAAAGAAGAGGAAGAAAGUGGAGCCUCGGACCUUUGAAGGAGAGGCUCCCUCCCACCGCACAGCAAGAAGGCACUGUCUGCGAGCCUGGAAAAGGGCCCUCAGCAGAGGGCGGCCCUGCCGGCACCCUGAACGUGGACUUCCAGGCUCCAGAGCUGGGAGGAGCGACCACAGUGGUUUCAGCCGCCCCGUCGGUGGUGUUCAGCUCCAGCAGCCCAGGCUCAGACGCCACAUCACGGCAUUAGGGUGAUUCCUCUUCUCCCGAGUGUCCGGUGUCUCGUUGAAGGAGAACCGCAACCUCGAACCUUUCACCUCUUUGCCCUUCGGUGGGUGCUCUUCAUGAGCAGCCACUUCAGCAAACACACACAGGCAGACCCCCGAGCAGCC